RNAcentral lists this ribosomal RNA (618 nucleotides) under Terracoccus sp. RNAcentral's name for it is "bacterial SSU rRNA". It matches the Rfam family "Bacterial small subunit ribosomal RNA", at positions 231 to 859 of the family's 1533-position model. Lineage: Bacteria; Bacillati; Actinomycetota; Actinomycetes; Micrococcales; Intrasporangiaceae. The record is from RNAcentral.
UCGCGGCCUAUCAGCUAGUUGGUGAGGUAAUGGCUCACCAAGGCGUCGACGGGUAGCCGGCCUGAGAGGGCGACCGGCCACACUGGGACUGAGACACGGCCCAGACUCCUACGGGAGGCAGCAGUGGGGAAUAUUGCACAAUGGGCGCAAGCCUGAUGCAGCGACGCCGCGUGAGGGAUGACGGCCUUCGGGUUGUAAACCUCUUUCAGUAGGGAAGAAGCGAAAGUGACGGUACCUGCAGAAGAAGCACCGGCUAACUACGUGCCAGCAGCCGCGGUAAUACGUAGGGUGCAAGCGUUGUCCGGAAUUAUUGGGCGUAAAGAGCUUGUAGGCGGUUUGUCGCGUCUGCCGUGAAAACUCGGGGCUCAACCCCCGACUUGCAGUGGGUACGGGCAGACUAGAGUGUGGUAGGGGAGACUGGAAUUCCUGGUGUAGCGGUGGAAUGCGCAGAUAUCAGGAGGAACACCGAUGGCGAAGGCAGGUCUCUGGGCCACAACUGACGCUGAGGAGCGAAAGGGUGGGGAGCAAACAGGAUUAGAUACCCUGGUAGUCCACCCCGUAAACGUUGGGAACUAGGUGUGGGGUUCAUUCCACGAAAUCCGUGACGCAGCUAACGCA